UUUUAUCUAGACGAUAUUAAAACUCAGAAGAAUUAAUUUUGACAUUGUUUUGUACUUCGUUUACAUCAGUUGCUGAUUUUCUCUGUUCAAGAAGGAUAGUGUACUACGAUAGAGACAGUGAUCACAUAUUUUUCCGUUUCACAUAUGGUAUGUUUUCAGGAAUUUGAAAUUAAACAGAAAUCUCAAAGAGUGGAGAGAGCAAAUUUUCAUAGGGGAGUAAGCCCCUCUGGAAUUAGAAUAGGUUCAUCACUCUAUAUCCUGCCACACGUGUCCAGUGUGGCAGUGGUAAAUACAGACCAGAAAGGCACUGCCUGAGCUGAACCGGGGUCAGGUCACUUAUCACCCCCAGUUUGGGUUCGAGGGUGGCCUUCGGCAAAGUUGUGACCACUGUUUCACUGGUAUGUUGAUUUGGACAGCUUAAUCUCCAGCUUGGGAAAUGAGAAAUGGGCCCUGGGUUCUACCCUUGCUUCUGAUAAGUUGCGAAGACCUCACCUUAGUCGCCCCAAACCUGAAGGGGUCCUUCAUUCGCAAAGAGGAAUCUCCUGAAGCUGUCAAAGAGGGAAAUCCACAGGGUGUUGUUUCAGAGGAAAUGGGAGGAUAAUGCCAGAAAGGGCUCCUUGAGUUGUAACACCCAUGGAGGCCUGUGUUUCAGCUUUCUUCUGUAGUCAAGCCAUACCCUACCUUGGGAUCAACGCUAAAAGCUCCCUUUUUUAAGUACUUGCUGUUCAUUUUGUUGUGGGAGAAGAAAAAGAGGUGCAAAGUGUGGAGGUGAGGGAGAGGUCAUCUCUUCCCAGAUAAUUCCAUCUGUCCUGAACCUUAAUGUCUAGGAUAAUUCCAGUUUAUUGCAUUUGGCAGCAGGAACUUUGCAUGAGAGAGAACAUCGAUUCUCUUGGAUGGGCCGGGCCCAGGUGAUCUCUUUGGGCUGGAUUUAUGCUUUUUAUUUCGUUCCUAGUGUAUAUAGAUGGAUACCUGCGUGGUCCAGAAUUGAUCCUUGUUAUACACUGGACAGAUGGGGGAAACCUCUUACGUUCGUUGCUUUCUGGUGUGCCAAAGAAAGGCAGGAAUGUUCAAGAAAUUCUCUUCGGCUUAAUUUUUGUGAAGCUGACAAGUUGGAUAAUUCUCACUGUGUGUCUACUGGAGUCAUGGGGUUUUGUGGUUUUCCGACGCACGUACUGCCCCUAGUGUGGAUAUGCUGCUGUUCUGCAGCCGAAUAAUUAAGGUCUGGGGAAACAUGAAUCAGUAUCUUUCGUUAAUUAAACAAGGACCCACUUCAGAUCUUACUUAGCGCAACCCAGUAAGUAAAUCAAAUUGUGGAGAACGGCUACAUUUUUAUGAAAACACUUAGGUCAAAAACCGUG
RNAcentral lists this long non-coding RNA (1358 nucleotides) under Lynx pardinus (Iberian lynx). The record is from RNAcentral. Lineage: Eukaryota; Metazoa; Chordata; Mammalia; Carnivora; Felidae.